CUUUUAUUGUGUUGAUGAGUCAUCAUGUAAAUGAAUGUUAAACAUAUGUAUUUUGAGCAAGAGAUGAACCCUUUUCAUAGGUGUUAGAUCAGCACUGUGGAUGAUCCUUCGAAGUUAUAAAUGCUGGGAAACUUUCUGUUAAGCUUAAAGGAGAGUUGAAUUCACUGAUUGCGCCUUGUUUUUUCCCCCUCCUCAUUAAGAAAUGUAACUGUUGAAACCGGUUCAAACGCUGUCCCAUGUUAGUGGACAUGUGGGCAUGAUUGAAAUCCAAACCCAUCCCUCAAAUAUUCAAUAUAUACAAAUCUCACAAAAUAUUAGUUUAGGAAAAUACUGAAUUUAUGACCAAAGUUAUCCUACUUACACUUUUUUAGUAAAUUGUGGGACUAGAAUUAAUGUUAAUAACCACAACCACAACCACAGCCUUUGUCAACCAGAGAAGUCUUUUUUUUUGUUGGUUCAGUUGCUCUUUUAACAAUUUGAAAACCCUCAACAGUUUUUCUACUCUUGAGGUCCCUUGUACGUUGUGGAUGGGAGUGUUAACAAUGACAGUGCAUUUCUCAAUAUCUGCUUCAGUUACAGGCCCACCUAAAUUCAGCAGAAACACAGUAUCAAGAAUACGCUCAUUAACACCCUUGGAAACAAUUGGGCGGCUCCUUGCUUCGUUGAUAAGAAACAGCUUUCACAGUUGGCAAUGGGUGUACAUGUUUCUUGACACUGUACACGCAACAACUAUGAAGAACAAGCAUCUUAAAAGGAAUAUGUAGGGAAUAAAGAAAAUAUAACUACAGAUGUGGAGGUUGACAUAUUUAGACACUUGCGUUUGACAGUUUACCACACCCAUUAUGCAAACAUAUAAUGUUUUUGUCUUUGCCUCCCCUAUAGCUUUAAUUCACUUUAAUUAGUGUUGUUUUUCAUGUUCAUGUUGUAGUUGCGGUACUGUUUCAUGAGGCACCUGCAUGUCGUUUCAAAGCUGUUCGCUUUGUUGUUGUGUUUUUUUUCUACUCCUUUGUUGUUGUGUUUUUUUUCUACUCCUUUGUUGUUGUGUUUUUUUUCUACUCCUUUGUUGUUGUUUUUUUUCUACUCCUUUGUUGUUGUGUUUUUUUUCUACUCCUUUGUUGUUGUUUUUUUUCUACUCCUUUGUUGUUGUGUUUUUUUUUCUACUCCUUUGUUGUUGUGUUUUUUUCUACUCCUUUGUUGUUGUGUUUUUUUUUCUACUCCUUUGUUGUUGUUGUUUUUUUCUACUCCUUUGUUGUGUUUUUUUCUACUCCUUUGUUGUUGUGUUUUUUUCUACUCCUUUGUUGUUGUGUUUUUUUCUACUCCUUUGUUGUUGUGUUUUUUUCUACUCCUUUGUUGUUGUGUUUUUUUCUACUCCUUUGUUGUUGUUUUUUUUUUCUACUCCUUUGUUGUUGUUUUUUUUCUACUCCUUUGUUGUUGUGUUUUUUUUCUACUCCUUUGUUGUUGUGUUUUUUUUCUACUCCUUUGUUGUUGUGUUUUUUUUCUACUCCUUUGUUGUAAGCGGAUAUCUGCAACAGGCUCCCGCCUUGGCCUAUUCUGAAUGAGUGGUUGUGUAUGGAUAAAUACAUCAGGGUCACACUUCAUUUGGACAGUCCGGAUUUCCCAUCUGUAGAUGCUCUAAAGAUGGUCAUACUAUCAACAAACUAUCUGUCGGUUAUGCAACUGCUUGCUAAGUUUACGGUUAGGGUCAGGUUAGGAUUAGAGCUAGGGUGGGGGUUAGGUUUAGGAGAUAGUUACAGUAGUUGAAAUGUUACUGAUCGUCUGUAGAUAGUCCAUCUGUAGAUGCUCUACAGACUAUCCAAAUAAAGUGUUACCAGAAUCACUUCCCAAAUAUAUGAUCCUCUUUGAGGCAUCCCGAGCGGCACAGCGGUCUAAGGCACUGUUAGAGGCGUCACCACAAGACCCUGGCUUGUUCCCAGUAUGUGUCACAACCAUCCGUGAUCGGGAGUCCCAUAGGGCGGCGCACAAUUGGCCCAGCGUUGUCUGGGUUAGUGGAGGGUUUGGCCGGGGGGGGCUGUCAUUGUAAAUAAAAAAAUAUUAUUUUUUACUCAAGUGCCUUACACCACUGCGAAUAAAUCCUCGAUAUGAUAGUUGACCUAUUUUUCAUUCUGUUUGCUGCUUGAGGUGUUCUCACCCUAAAACAGGGAUAUAAAACAUUGCUGUUUUAACUGGCUUUCCCUAAGCUGCACCCCUUUCUCCAACUGAAAAAAAAAAAUACAACACAACUGCUUCCCCCAUUUCUCCAUUAAACGAGGCUGUUUGCAUGAUUUCAGAAGUUCAUUAGGGAUGAAUGGCUCCCCCUCUCUGGGCCUUGGGAGAAGGAGUGGUGACAGUGCACACAAAAGAUAAAGGGGAGCGAGGGUGAAUGGCCCUGGCCAAGUGGGUGGCUUUAGAGAAUUCCAGGGAUGUCUCUGACUACUUGCCAAGCCUGGGGGUGGGGAGAGAGAGAGGGAGAGAGAGAGAGAAUCUAUGGCAGAGGGGACCACAUUGUUUAUCUCAUCAGAACCUGUGUGUUUACAGUCUCUGUUUCACUCAGGGGAGGAAGACCAGAGAGAGCAGAACAGCCCAUUGUUUCCAUCAUAAUGUCUAAGGGGCAGUGUGAUCCCAUUGUCACUGUUAGAUUCUCCAAUUGAGUUUUUAUCCAUCGAAAUGUAAAAGGCAGAAAGAUUGAUCAUGAACAUUCUACUUGUGAGGGUCAUGGCAUGAGAUUCUAUAGCAUCAACAUUUGUGGAACAGGAAAGAUAGUUUUGUUGAUUAAAUAGUUCUAUAACAUAAUCAAAUCAGAUGUUCUAUAGAUUUUAUUGAACC
Molecule: long non-coding RNA, 2823 nt
Organism: Oncorhynchus tshawytscha (Chinook salmon)
Lineage: Eukaryota; Metazoa; Chordata; Actinopteri; Salmoniformes; Salmonidae
Source: Ensembl